RNAcentral lists this ribosomal RNA (869 nucleotides) under Enterococcus faecium. Its description in RNAcentral is "bacterial SSU rRNA". It matches the Rfam family "Bacterial small subunit ribosomal RNA", at positions 56 to 895 of the family's 1533-position model. The record is from RNAcentral. Lineage: Bacteria; Bacillati; Bacillota; Bacilli; Lactobacillales; Enterococcaceae.
UGCAGUCGAACGCUUCUUUUUCCACCGGAGCUUGCUCCACCGGAAAAAGAAGAGUGCGUGAUUGGGUGAGUAACACGUGGGUAACCUGCCCAUCAGAAGGGGAUAACACUUGGAAACAGGUGCUAAUACCGUAUAACAAUCAAAACCGCAUGGUUUUGAUUUGAAAGGCGCUUUCGGGUGUCGCUGAUGGAUGGACCCGCGGUGCAUUAGCUAGUUGGUGAGGUAACGGCUCACCAAGGCCACGAUGCAUAGCCGACCUGAGAGGGUGAUCGGCCACAUUGGGACUGAGACACGGCCCAAACUCCUACGGGAGGCAGCAGUAGGGAAUCUUCGGCAAUGGACGAAAGUCUGACCGAGCAACGCCGCGUGAGUGAAGAAGGUUUUCGGAUCGUAAAACUCUGUUGUUAGAGAAGAACAAGGAUGAGAGUAACUGUUCAUCCCUUGACGGUAUCUAACCAGAAAGCCACGGCUAACUACGUGCCAGCAGCCGCGGUAAUACGUAGGUGGCAAGCGUUGUCCGGAUUUAUUGGGCGUAAAGCGAGCGCAGGCGGUUUCUUAAGUCUGAUGUGAAAGCCCCCGGCUCAACCGGGGAGGGUCAUUGGAAACUGGGAGACUUGAGUGCAGAAGAGGAGAGUGGAAUUCCAUGUGUAGCGGUGAAAUGCGUAGAUAUAUGGAGGAACACCAGUGGCGAAGGCGGCUCUCUGGUCUGUAACUGACGCUGAGGCUCGAAAGCGUGGGGAGCAAACAGGAUUAGAUACCCUGGUAGUCCACGCCGUAAACGAUGAGUGCUAAGUGUUGGAGGGUUUCCGCCCUUCAGUGCUGCAGCUAACGCAUUAAGCACUCCGCCUGGGGAGUACGACCGCAAGGUU